AUUGAACGCUGGCGGCAGGCCUAACACAUGCAAGUCGAGCGGAUGAAGCGAGCUUGCUCCUGGAUUCAGCGGCGGCCGGGUGAGUAAUGCCUAGGAAUCUGCCUGGUAGUGGGGGAUAACGUCCGGAAACGGGCGCUAAUACCGCAUACGUCCUGAGGGAGACAGUGGGGGAUCUUCGGACCUCUCGCUAUCAGAUUAGCCUAGGUCGGAUUAGCUAGUUGGUGGGGUAAAUGCCUACCAAGGCGACGAUCCGUAACUGGUCUGAGAGGAUGAUCAGUCACACUGGAACUGAGACACGGUCCAGACUCCUACGGGAGGCAGCAGUGGGGAAUAUUGGGCGAGGGGCGAAAGCCUGAUCUAGCCAUGCCGCGUGUGUGAAGAAGGUCUUCGGAUUGUAAAGCACUGUAAGUUGGGAGGAAGGACAGUAAGUUUAUACCUGACUGUUUUGACGUUACCAACAGAAUAAGCACCGGCUAACUUCGUG
RNAcentral lists this ribosomal RNA (484 nucleotides) under uncultured bacterium. RNAcentral describes it as "partial 16S ribosomal RNA". It matches the Rfam family "Bacterial small subunit ribosomal RNA", at positions 30 to 507 of the family's 1533-position model. The record is from RNAcentral.